Molecule: long non-coding RNA, 101 nt
Organism: Cebus imitator (Panamanian white-faced capuchin)
Lineage: Eukaryota; Metazoa; Chordata; Mammalia; Primates; Cebidae
Exons: 3
Source: RefSeq, a predicted model, not a curated record
GACACUUUCUCAGCUAAAUAAUGACAUGAAAUGUCAGAACAGAAUGUGGACUGGGAGUGUGUGACAUUGGCCUGCAGAAUCAGGUGGCUGGGGGUAGAGGC